This 500-nucleotide ribosomal RNA is filed under the name uncultured bacterium. Its description in RNAcentral is "partial 16S ribosomal RNA". It matches the Rfam family "Bacterial small subunit ribosomal RNA", at positions 30 to 523 of the family's 1533-position model. The record is from RNAcentral.
AUUGAACGCUGGCGGCAUGCCUUACACAUGCAAGUCGAACGGCAGCUCGGGAGCAAUCCUGGUGGCGAGUGGCGAACGGGUGAGUAAUAUAUCGGAACGUGCCCAGUCGUGGGGGAUAACGCAGCGAAAGCUGUGCUAAUACCGCAUACGAUCUACGGAUGAAAGCGGGGGAUCGCAAGACCUCGCGCGAUUGGAGCGGCCGAUAUCAGAUUAGCUAGUUGGUGAGGUAAAGGCUCACCAAGGCGACGAUCUGUAGCUGGUCUGAGAGGACGACCAGCCACACUGGAACUGAGACACGGUCCAGACUCCUACGGGAGGCAGCAGUGGGGAAUUUUGGACAAUGGGCGAAAGCCUGAUCCAGCAAUGCCGCGUGCAGGAAGAAGGCCUUCGGGUUGUAAACUGCUUUUGUACGGAGCGAAAAGGUCUCCUCUAAUACAGGGGGCUCAUGACGGUACCGUAAGAAUAAGCACCGGCUAACUACGUGCCAGCCGCCGCAGUAA